Molecule: ribosomal RNA, 688 nt
Filed under: uncultured bacterium
Lineage: Bacteria
Description: bacterial SSU rRNA
Rfam family: Bacterial small subunit ribosomal RNA
Source: RNAcentral
AGGGUUUGAUCCUGGCUCAGGACGAACGCUGGCGGUGUGCUUAAUGCAUGCAAGUCUACUACUUGUGACUUCGGUCACACUAAAGUGGUGGCAAACGGCUUAGUAACACGUAAGUAAUCUACCCUUAAGUAUGGGAUAAUCCGGAGAAAUCCGGCCUAAUACCACAUAAUUUUUUGAUAUAUAAAUGUUAAGAAGAAAGAUUUAUCGCUUUUGGAGGAGCUUGCGGCCUAUCAGGUAGUUGGUAAGGGUAAUGGCCUACCAAGCCUAAGACGGGUAACCGAAGUGAGAGCUUGAUCGGUAAGAGGGGAACUGAGACACGGUCCCCACUUCUACGGAAGGCAGCAGCAGGGAAUUUUGCGCAAUGGACUGUAUGGUCUGACGCAGCGACACCGCGUGGAGGAUGAAUGGUUUAGGCUUGUAAACUCCUUUUCUUAGGGAAGAUGAUGACGGUACCUAAGGAAUAAGCAUCGGCUAACUACGUGCCAGCAGCCGCGGUAAUACGUAGGAUGCGAGCGUUGUCCGGAAUUAUUGGGCGUAAAGGGCGUCUAGGUGGAUUAAUAAGUCCUGUGUGAAAUCUCUUGGCUCAACCAAGAAAGGUCACAGGAAACUAUUAGUCUAGAGGUCAUGAGAGGUAAGUGGAAUUCACAGAGUAGUGGUGAAAUGCGUAGAUACUGUGAGGAACACCAGA